GCCCCGAAUUAUAGUGGCGGUCUCGCUGUAGCCUCCUCUGCGUAGUAGCACACCUCGCACUGGAACGCGGCGCGGCCACGCCGUAAAACCCCAACUUCUGAAGGUUGACCUCGGAUCAGGUAGGAAUACCCGCUGAACUUAAGCAUAUCAAUAAGCGGAGGAAAAGAAACCAACAGGGAUUGCCCUAGUAACGGCGAGUGAAGCGGCAACAGCUCAAAUUUGAAAUCUGGCCCUCGUGGUCCGAGUUGUAAUUUGUAGAGGAUGCUUUUGGUGCGGUGCCUUCCGAGUUCCCUGGAACGGGACGCCAUAGAGGGUGAGAGCCCCGUCUGGUUGGACACCAAUCCUCUGUAAAGCUCCUUCGACGAGUCGAGUAGUUUGGGAAUGCUGCUCUAAAUGGGAGGUAAAUGUCUUCUAAAGCUAAAUACCGGCCAGAGACCGAUAGCGCACAAGUAGAGUGAUCGAAAGAUGAAAAGCACUUUGAAAAGAGGGUUAAAUAGUACGUGAAAUUGUUGAAAGGGAAGCGUUUGUGACCAGACUUGGGCUUGGUUAAUCAUCCAGCGUUCUCGCUGGUGCACUUUGCCAGCCCAGGCCAGCAUCAGUUCGCUGCGGGGGAUAAAAGCUUCGGGAACGUGGCUCUUCGGAGUGUUAUAGCCCGCUGCAUAAUACCCUGUGGCGGACUGAGGUUCGCGCAUCUGCAAGGAUGCUGGCGUAAUGGUCAUCAACGACCCGUCUUGAAACACGGACCAAGGAGUCGUCUUCGUAUGCGAGUGUUCGGGUGUCAAACCCCUACGCGUAAUGAAAGUGAACGGAGGUGGGAGCCUCGGCGCACCAUCGACCGAUCCUGAAGUUUACGGAUGGAUUUGAGUAAGAGCAUACGGGGCCGGACCCGAAAGAAGGUGAACUAUGCCUGUAUAGGGUGAAGCCAGAGGAAACUCUGGUGGAGGCUCGCAGCGGUUCUGACGUGCAAAUCGAUCGUCAAAUAUGGGCAUGGGGGCGAAAGACUAAUCGAACCUUCUAGUAGCUGG
This 1025-nucleotide ribosomal RNA is filed under the name Thyronectria cucurbitula. RNAcentral describes it as "LSU rRNA". The stretch from base 106 to 1025 matches the Rfam family "Eukaryotic large subunit ribosomal RNA", at positions 1 to 954 of the family's 3401-position model. The record is from RNAcentral. Lineage: Eukaryota; Fungi; Ascomycota; Sordariomycetes; Hypocreales; Nectriaceae.